GCCAGGUGUGGUGGUGCACACCUGUAAUCCAAGCUACAUGGGAGGCUGAGGCAGGAGAAUCACUUGAACCUGGGAGCUGGAGCUCACAGUGAGCCAAGAUCUUGCCACUGCACUCCAGCCUGGUGACAGAGUGAGACUCUAUCUCAA
Pongo abelii (Sumatran orangutan) is the source of this 147-nucleotide unclassified non-coding RNA. It matches the Rfam family "Metazoan signal recognition particle RNA". From Rfam's summary of the family: The signal recognition particle (SRP) is a universally conserved ribonucleoprotein. It is involved in the co-translational targeting of proteins to membranes. The record is from Ensembl. NCBI's taxonomy places the organism in Eukaryota, Metazoa, Chordata, Mammalia, Primates, Hominidae.